GAGUUUGAUCCUGGCUCAGGAUGAACGCUAGCGGCGUGCCUAACACAUGCAAGUCGAACGUGAGGAAGCCUUCGGGCUUCUGAAAGUGGCGGACGGGUGAGUAAGUCGUAGGUGACCUGCCUUCAAGUGGGGGAUAACCAUUAGAAAUGAUGGCUAAUACCGCAUGGUUUUGUGGAUUUGGGAAAGUCGACAAACAAAGCUCAGGCGCUUGAAGAGGGGCCUACGUCCGAUUAGGUAGUUGGUGGGGUAAAGGCUCACCAAGCCAAUGAUCGGUAGCUGGUCUGAGAGGACGAUCAGCCACACGGGAACUGAGACACGGUCCCGA
RNAcentral lists this ribosomal RNA (325 nucleotides) under uncultured Caldilineae bacterium. RNAcentral's name for it is "bacterial SSU rRNA". It matches the Rfam family "Bacterial small subunit ribosomal RNA", at positions 9 to 335 of the family's 1533-position model. The record is from RNAcentral. Lineage: Bacteria; Bacillati; Chloroflexota; Caldilineae.